This 253-nucleotide ribosomal RNA is filed under the name uncultured bacterium. RNAcentral describes it as "partial 16S ribosomal RNA". It matches the Rfam family "Bacterial small subunit ribosomal RNA", at positions 524 to 776 of the family's 1533-position model. The record is from RNAcentral.
UACGUAGGGUCCGAGCGUUGUCCGGAAUUACUGGGCGUAAAGAGCUCGCAGGCGGCUCGUUGCGUCGGCUGUGAAAACCCGCAGCUCAACUGUGGGCUUGCAGCUGAUACGGGCGGGCUGGGAUUCGGUAGGGGAGACUGGAAUUCCUGGUGGAGCGGUGAAAUGCGCAGAUAUCAGGAGGAACACCGAUGGCGAAGGCAGGUCUCUGGGCCACUACUGACGCUGAGAAGCGAAAGCAUGGGGAGCGAACAGG